UGCCUGGCUUGAGUACGUGAGAGGAGAUUGGAAUUCCAGGUGUAGCGGUGAAAUGCGUAGAUAUCUGGAGGAACACCGGUGGCGAAAGCGGAUCUCUGGCACGUUACUGACGCUGAGGCUCGAAAGCAUGGGGAGCAAACGGGAUUAGAUACCCCGGUAGUNCAUGCCGUAAACGUUGUGCGCUAGGUGUAGGAGGUAUCGACCCCCUUCUGUGCCGCAGCUAACGCAUUAAGCGCACCGCCUGGGGAGUACGGUCGCAAGACUGAAACUCAAAGGAAUUGACGGGGGCCCGCACAAGCGGUGGAGCAUGUGGUUUAAUUCGAGGCAACGCGAAGAGCCUUACCCAGACUUGACAUCCCAGGACCGCCUAUGAAAGUAGGUUUUCCCUUCGGGGACCUGGAGACAGGUGUUGCAUGGCUGUCGUCAGCUCGUGUCGUGAGAUGUUGGGUUAAGUCCCGCAACGAGCGCAACCCUUGUCCUCAGUUACCAGCGGGUUAUGCCGGGCACUCUGAGGAGACUGCCGAUGAUAAGUCGGAGGAAGGUGGGGACGACGUCAAGUCAUCACGGCCCUUACGUCUGGGGCUACACACGUGCUACAAUGGUCGGUACAGAGGGACGCAAGAUCGCGAGAUGGAGCCAAUCCCAAAAAGCCGGCCUCAGUUCGGAUUGCAGUCUGCAACUCGACUGCAUGAAGUCGGAAUCGCUAGUAAUCGUGGGUCAGCUACACCACGGUGAAUACGUUCCCGGGCCUUGUACACAUCGCCCGUCACAUGACCCGAGUUGGGUGCACCCAAAGCCACUGGCUCAACCAGCAAUGGGGAGAGGUGUCUAAGGUGUGUCUGGUGAGGGGGAUGAAGUCGUAACAAGGUAGCC
Molecule: ribosomal RNA, 873 nt
Filed under: uncultured bacterium
Lineage: Bacteria
Description: bacterial SSU rRNA
Rfam family: Bacterial small subunit ribosomal RNA
Source: RNAcentral